This is a non-coding RNA of Pelodiscus sinensis (Chinese soft-shelled turtle), 638 nucleotides long. Lineage: Eukaryota; Metazoa; Chordata; Testudines; Trionychidae. The record is from RefSeq and is a predicted model, not a curated record.
CGCAUUCUCCUCCUUCUCUUCUUGGUUCCGGGAUGGACGCAACGUGCGUAGAGCCGUGCUUUAGGCUGGAGCGCGCUGGAAGGGCACGGCUAGGCACAAGCGCCAGCCUCAGCAAACGAGUUUCCCUUUGCUGUGGUUUCCCUGUUCAAAUACAGAAAGGAGACUUCUCCAGAACUCAGAAUGCUUAUAAAAAGCAAGGUAUAGAUGGACCAGCUGCAAGUGGGGCAUGUGCAACACCUCCAGUGCCAUCCUCUCGAUCCUGCAAGACCUGAUGGCAGAGGUGACUCCAGGAUGACCUGGUGAGGGGACACCUGGAGUAUGUCGGUUCCCUGAACUGAAACUUUGAGGAGGACCACCAGGAGCACUGCACUGACUGGGAGCUGUGCUGCACCAUCUGGGAGCAGCUGUCCUGAGAGCAUGUGAACGGCUUACAUCAACACCAUUGAGCACAUUAUCACCACCAUGGAGUGGUCCAGCAGCCAUCUUUUCCCACCCCACCUACUCCUUCCCAACUCUUCCCUGCACCCACCCUGCCCCCGUCCCCUAGCUUCUCCUCCUGGUCACCUUUGGGCCACCGAGGACCCUGUCCACGAGACAGCGGGACCACCCAAGGCAGGUGCCAGUCCCAGCCCCGUCCC